This 774-nucleotide ribosomal RNA is filed under the name uncultured Neocallimastigales. RNAcentral describes it as "partial large subunit ribosomal RNA". It matches the Rfam family "Eukaryotic large subunit ribosomal RNA", at positions 24 to 631 of the family's 3401-position model. The record is from RNAcentral. Lineage: Eukaryota; Fungi; Neocallimastigomycota; Neocallimastigomycetes; Neocallimastigales.
UAUGUGAUCGUCUCUCGCAUAUCAAUAAGCGGAGGAAAAGAAACUAACAAGGAUUCCCCUAGUAACGGCGAGUGAAGCGGGAAGAGCUCAAAUUUGAAAUCUUAAAGGGUUUCCCUUUACGAAUUGUAGUUUAAAGAAGUGUUUUCUGUUGAGGUUUUGGUAAAAGUUCUUUGGAAUAGGACAUCAUAGAGGGUGAGAAUCCUGUAUUUGACCUUUACUUUCAACUUUGUGAUACACUUUCAAAGAGUCGGAUUGUUUGGGAAUGCAGUCCAAAAUGGGUGGUAAAUUUCAUCUAAAGCUAAAUAUUGGCGAGAGACCGAUAGCGAACAAGUACCGUGAGGGAAAGAUGAAAAGAACUUUGAAAAGAGAGUUAAACAGUACGUGAAAUUGUCAAAAGGGAAGCGUUUGACACCAGUGUUGUUUUUCUGAAAAUCAAUUAAAGAACUGUUUAUGCUAAGUUGUUUAGACUUUAUCAGCUAACUGUUUAGUUUUGAGCUUUUCUUUAAUGCACUUUUCAGUUAACAAGUCAACAUCAAUUUCUUUUGCUGUAAAAAAGCUUGAGGAAGGUGGCUUGAGAUUCGUCUUAAGUGUUUAUAGCCUCUUGCCUAUGCAGUCGGAGAGAUUGAGGUCUGCAGCGUAGAUCCUUCGGGGCUAAAUGCAUUUGUGCUAAGUUAUAGCAUUUUAUAGACAACUUGUUGACUAUGAUUUGUCUUGUAGCUUACUCGCUUAUGUUAUUUUACCUACGCUUAGGAUGUUGAUCUACAGAGCGAGAGU